This 328-nucleotide ribosomal RNA is filed under the name Maymena ambita. RNAcentral's name for it is "partial 12S ribosomal RNA". The record is from RNAcentral. Lineage: Eukaryota; Metazoa; Arthropoda; Arachnida; Araneae; Mysmenidae.
AUUAAAUCAAUUAAGGUAGUCAGAUUAACUAAAACCUUUAUAAAAUGGCGGCAAUUCAUCUUACUAGAGGAACUUGUUUUAUAAUUCGACAACCCCCGAUAACUCUCACUAUCAUUUAAAUUUUAUAUACCGCCGUUUAAACCUAUUCUAAACAAUAACUUCAAUUUCAACCCUAGAAAAAAAUCAGGUAAAGGUGUAAACCACGAGAUAGAAAAAAUGAGUUACAUUAACCCAAAGUUAAGAAACUUAUUUUAACAAAAUAAAGGAAAAAGGAUUUAAAAGUAAAUUAUUAAAUAAUAUUUAAAACCGAAUAAGAUAAUAAAUGUGC